GACGAACGCUGGCGGCGUGCUUAACACAUGCAAGUCGAACGGAGCGAAUGAAAGCUUGCUUUUAUGAGCUUAGUGGCAAACGGGUGAGUAACACGUAGACAACCUGCCGACAGGAUGGGGACAACAUUCCGAAAGGAAUGCUAAUACCGAAUGAAGCGGAGGAGAGGCAUCUCUCUUCCGUGAAAGAUGGCCUCUUUUUAUGCUAUCACCUGUUGAUGGGUCUGCGUCUGAUUAGCUGGUAGGUGAGGUAACGGCUCACCUAGGCGACGAUCAGUAGCCGGUCUGAGAGGAUGAACGGCCACAUUGGGACUGAGACACGGCCCAGACUCCUACGGGAGGCAGCAGUGGGGAAUCUUCCGCAAUGGGCGCAAGCCUGACGGAGCAACGCCGCGUGAGUGAAGAAGGUCUUCGGAUCGUAAAGCUCUGCUGACGGGGACGAACGUGCGAGAGGUGAAUAAUCUCUUGUAAU
This 469-nucleotide ribosomal RNA is filed under the name Selenomonas sp. oral taxon G67. RNAcentral's name for it is "bacterial SSU rRNA". It matches the Rfam family "Bacterial small subunit ribosomal RNA", at positions 28 to 470 of the family's 1533-position model. The record is from RNAcentral. Lineage: Bacteria; Bacillati; Bacillota; Negativicutes; Selenomonadales; Selenomonadaceae.